RNAcentral lists this microRNA precursor (94 nucleotides) under Sorghum bicolor (sorghum). RNAcentral's name for it is "MIR5387 microRNA precursor family". It matches the Rfam family "MIR5387 microRNA precursor family". The record is from Rfam by way of RNAcentral. Lineage: Eukaryota; Viridiplantae; Streptophyta; Magnoliopsida; Poales; Poaceae.
CCGUGGCUGGAACCGGUGCUAAAGGGCCUUUAACACUGGCUGGUGUUACGCGCCGGUGUUAAAGGGUCCCUUUAGCAUCGGUUCCAGCCACGGA